Molecule: long non-coding RNA, 1185 nt
Filed under: Bos indicus x Bos taurus (hybrid cattle)
Lineage: Eukaryota; Metazoa; Chordata; Mammalia; Artiodactyla; Bovidae
Description: lncRNA (ENSBIXG00005011504.1)
Source: RNAcentral
CUUGUUGGUUAUCUGUUUUUUAUAUAGUGUAUCAGUUAAUCCCAAGCUCCUAAUGUAUCCCUCCUCUUCCUUUUCCCUUUAGUAUAUAGUUAAAUUCUUAAACAAUGCCUCCUAACAUUAAAAAAAUAUAUAUAUUUCUUGAGUCAAACCCAUCAACUUUCCUCUGACAGGAGCCCUCUAAUUGCUCAAUAGUGUGAACCCCUCUGUGCCCUAAAGCCCAGUCUUUUUGCCCUACUUAGGGCUGCAGUGGUGGGUCAUGGUGGGGUUUGGAUUUCCAGAGAGACUGUAGGUGGAAGUCCCCCGCCCCCAAACUGGUCCAAGAAAAGGUUGAACCCAGAAGAUGAGCCUUUGUGUGGAUGAUGACUUCGUUUGCCUUUAGCUGUAUUCUGAGGACUGAUGCUGAAGCUGAAACUCCAAUACUUUGGCCACCUGAUUCUAAGAGCUGACUCAUUUGACAGACCCCGAUGCUGGGGAAGAUUGAGAGCAGGAGGAGAAGGGGAUGACAGGGGAUGAGAUGGAUGGCAUCACCGACUCAAUGGACAUGAGUUUGGGUGGACUCCGGGAGUGAUGAUGGACAGGCAGGCCUGGUGUGCUGCAGUCCAUGGGGCCGCAAAGAGUCGGACACAACUGAGUGACCGAACUGAACUGAACUGAAACUCUUCCCCCACAGCUGGAUGAGCCGGGGAAGGAGGUGUGGGUGGGCAUACCUCUGGGGCUGCAGGUGGGAGUGAGUGAGCAGUGGUGGGCAACAGAAGGUAGUCCUUUCGUAUUAAUAUUUAUUCUGGGGUGUUAGAAUUCUUAAGCAAUACAUCGCCUCUCCUCAGCACUUAAUUUGGGGGAACUGAACGAUGUACCCGCCCAGAUAUCUGCCAUCAGAGCCCCACAGGCUGACCAAGUUGCCCAAGCCGCGUUUCUUUUCCCGCCCACCUGGCCCUGAGGUGGACGGCCGCAGAAAGGGUUAACGGGGGAACUGGCAGGGCCCUUGCUCUGAGGCUGCACACUCAGCUUCCAGAAGCCCAUCCGCCAAGCCCAGGACGAUUCUUCCUGACCAGCUGUGGAAGCCAGAGGGAGAGCGAGCACGGUGGGUGCUCCUUGAGGUGCUGGCAUCCCCGGAGCCCUGAAACCACAGUGGCAACGCUGGAAAAACCAGGUGUUCCUAAGGACUUAAAACUUCAUACCCAGCAG